RNAcentral lists this ribosomal RNA (492 nucleotides) under uncultured bacterium. Its description in RNAcentral is "partial 16S ribosomal RNA". It matches the Rfam family "Bacterial small subunit ribosomal RNA", at positions 30 to 507 of the family's 1533-position model. The record is from RNAcentral.
AUUGAACGCUGGCGGCAUGCUUUACACAUGCAAGUCGAACGGUAACAGGCCUUCGGGUGCUGACGAGUGGCGAACGGGUGAGUAAUGCAUCGGAACGUACCCAGAGGUGGGGGAUAACGCAGCGAAAGCUGUGCUAAUACCGCAUGUGAUCUGAGGAUGAAAGCGGGGGACCGAGCAGCAAUGUUUGGCCUCGCGCCUUUGGAGCGGCCGAUGUCGGAUUAGCUAGUUGGUGGGGUAAAGGCCUACCAAGGCGACGAUCCGUAGCUGGUCUGAGAGGACGACCAGCCACACUGGGACUGAGACACGGCCCAGACUCCUACGGGAGGCAGCAGUGGGGAAUUUUGGAUAAUGGGCGCAAGCCUGAUCCAGCAAUGCCGCGUGCGGGAAGAAGGCCUUCGGGUUGUAAACCGCUUUUGGCAGGAACGAAACGGUGUCCGCUAAUACCGGGCGCUAAUGACGGUACCUGCAGAAUAAGCACCGGCUAACUACGUG